Podarcis lilfordi (Lilford's wall lizard) is the source of this 69-nucleotide non-coding RNA. Lineage: Eukaryota; Metazoa; Chordata; Lepidosauria; Squamata; Lacertidae. The record is from the annotation of a GenBank genome assembly.
GCUGUGGCUCGGUGUUAGCGCAUCUGUUUAGCAUGCUGAUGGUCCUAGGUUCAACCCCUGGCAUCUCCA